RNAcentral lists this long non-coding RNA (957 nucleotides) under Setaria viridis. Its description in RNAcentral is "long non-coding RNA (SVIR_LNC007994)". The record is from RNAcentral. Lineage: Eukaryota; Viridiplantae; Streptophyta; Magnoliopsida; Poales; Poaceae.
AUCACAAGGGCACACAGGCCUAAUGACUACUGCAAAGGGAAGGGCCCACAUGGAAGGAAGCUGCGCAAAAUGCAGCCACAUCCAGGUCCUCCUCCAAAAUAGUACCAGCAACUCCUGCACCGCCGCUACCUCGAUAGUGGCAACGAUGAAUCCCGAGUGCUGCAUAAGGGAGAAAAAACAAGGCUGCUCUUUUGCUAGCCUUGGCGAGCCGUCCCACACCGCAUGCCACACAUCCACCUCUAAGAGAGCCGGAUAAAGACCACAACACUCAUCACCCAUCACUCGCGAGUUCUAGCAUGGACUUAGCUGGAUCACGAGCUGCAAGAUGAGGCACGUGACGAACACUCCUACGAGGAUUCUUCUAGCAUCGUGGCUAUCCCUAUGAGCACUAGAGUCUGUGGAGGGAAGGUGGCUCUAAUCUAUGAGGAAUCUUCUAGCACCAGAGUACUCUUUGAUGGCUCCCUACAAUCAAAUAACAGCAAUCGAAAGCAAUCCAUUGCUACUCAAGUCCGAUCCCAAUCGAUCCCGUGGUAGUCUAUUUAUAGCCAAGCGCCACAACUAACAACCACUGUUACUAUUCGCCCGUGACAAAAAGUACUGACGAGUCAGGAUGCUCUUUGACUCCGCUCACGUGAAAGCAUUCACACCGCAAAAGAUAAAAGAGUACAGUACACCCGUGCACCCCCUCCCAAGAGUAAAAAGAUAGAGUACUCGACAAACCCCGUGACUACUCGAUUAAUACUCAUACUCCCUCCAAACGACAAGGAUUGACAAUCAUUCAUCAGACUUCAAGCAAAAGAUUGUCUCGAGUAAAAUACUCGACAGGACUACAAGGCUACAUAGGCCUAAGGCUCCUCCAAAAAUACAAACUCAGACAUCUUCGAAGCGAUUGGCUCAACCUCCUCAAGAUACUGCGCAUAAGCAUCCUCCGUACAGUUCCGAGCCACACCAUCACCA